RNAcentral lists this ribosomal RNA (257 nucleotides) under uncultured prokaryote. Its description in RNAcentral is "partial 16S ribosomal RNA". It matches the Rfam family "Bacterial small subunit ribosomal RNA", at positions 524 to 780 of the family's 1533-position model. The record is from RNAcentral.
UACGUAGGUGGCAAGCGUUGUCCGGAUUUAUUGGGCGUAAAGCGAGCGCAGGUGGUUUCUUAAGUCUGAUGUGAAAGCCCACGGCUCAAUCGUGGAAGGUCAUUGGAAACUGGGGAACUUGAAUGCAGAAGAGGAGAGUGGAAUUCCAUGUGUAGCGGUGAAAUGCGUAGAUAUAUGGAGGAACACCAGUGGCGAAGGCGACUCUCUGGUCUGUUAUUGACACUGAGGCUCGAAAGCGUGGGGAGCAAACAGGAUUA